AUGGCUCCCAGGGCUGUUCGGGAGUUUCCAUUCAAGGGAGAAUUAGGGAUUUCCCUGCUGGUCCAGUGUCUAAGACUCCGAGCUCCCAAUGUGGGGGUGGGGGUGGAGUGGGGAGGGGGGCAGGUUCAAUUCCUUGGUCAGGAAACUAGACUCUAUGUGUAGCAACUAAAGAAUCCACAUGCAGCAACUAACCUGGCACAGCCAAGGAUUUUUUUUAAGAUUUUUUAAACAAUUGAAAGAAUAGGUUUAAGGAGGCAAAAUAGUAGGUUCAUUUGUAGACACAGUUAAUCAGUCUUGACACUCAGUCACUGCAAUGCAUGAAUCUUGAACCUAAGGUUACACAAAAGCCACAGGUGAGUUUCUCACACACUAUAUGUGGCAAAUCAUUAGGUACACAAUAUUACUAAAGUAACAAGCCACCUUCAGUGUGGGCUCUGAAGCCCAAUAUUAAACACAUCCAAAUAAGUUUUCAAGUCAUCUUUCACGGACUUUAGGAAAGAAGGGGUAGAGGAAUAGCAGGUUCUUAAGCAUUAGGCAGAAGGCAAUGGCAACCCACUCCAUUACUCUUGCCUGGAAAAUCCCAUGGACAGAACCCCAUAGACUGCAGUCCCUGGGGUCGCUACAAGUUGGACACGACUGACUGGCUUCACUUUCACACACUGGAGAAGGAAAUGUGAAAAAGGAAAGUGAAGUCGCUCCGUCGUGUCUGACUCCUAGCGACCCCAUGGACUGCAGCCCACCAGGCCCCUCCGUCCCUGAUUUUCCAGGCAAGAGUACUGGAGUGGGGUGCCAUAUUAACCCCUAUGUUUGUACAAAACUCGAAAUUUUGUACGCAACCUUAAAAAAUUACACCAUCAUAUAAAAUUCAAGAUAAAGCAGUAACACUUUCUUCACCAUUUUGCAAAGGGGGAGUAUAGUCAAGGAUAUUAAAAAUCGUAUUAACCUUCAUGUUUUUUGGUGGUCACACACUAUCUAGAGACUAAUUUCUUUCUUUUUACUGUCUAUAUCGAGACUAAAACAUUACACUUAAAAUGGAAUCGCAUGUUAGCAUAGUGCAAACCAGUUUUGCAAUUAGUGAAAAAAUAUUUACUUAGCAACUGUUGAGAGCAGUUUCUAAAAAUACCCACCUCCCACCUUUCUUCCAAUCCUAAAAAUCUAAUAUAGCACUUCAUCACCAAGAUUUGUGUCACUGUUCACUGGCAGAGAACCAAUGGAUGCCUGCCUGACAAAAUUGUUUCCAAUGGUUAUUCAAACUAUUUCACAUCCCUGCAUUAGUAAGGCUGACUUAAUAUGGUAAUGGUGAGAAAGGGCCACAUUUUUCUACCUAAUACAUUCUACUCCAUAAAUAAUCAGACUACGAAUGUACUAUGGUACUAGAGGGUGAGAAAAUCCUGUCAGUGAAUAUACUAAUACAUUAGAAUAGCAUACCUCUAUAAACCUGAUUACAUGGAAAUGCUCCAAAAUUGUAAAUAAAAUAUUUACCAUAGGUAAAAAUAACCUGACCAAAUUUCUUAUUCAGUAGAAUGCAGACUUUAUUAAUGCAUCCUACUUAGUAUUUGGUCCUAAACAUGGACUCGACUAAUAGCCCCAACAGUUGAAGGGAUGACUUGUUUAUGAAAACCUAUCAGUUUGGACUUUAACUCCUCCUACA
Long non-coding RNA from Bos taurus (domestic cattle), 1651 nucleotides. NCBI's taxonomy places the organism in Eukaryota, Metazoa, Chordata, Mammalia, Artiodactyla, Bovidae. The record is from Ensembl.